This 439-nucleotide ribosomal RNA is filed under the name uncultured bacterium. RNAcentral's name for it is "partial 16S ribosomal RNA". It matches the Rfam family "Bacterial small subunit ribosomal RNA", at positions 339 to 795 of the family's 1533-position model. The record is from RNAcentral.
CUACGGGUCGCUCCAGUGAGGAAUAUUGCACAAUGGGGGGAACCCUGAUGCAGCAACGCCGCGUGGAGGAUGACGCAUUUCGGUGUGUAAACUCCUUUUAUAUGUCAAGAAAAUGACGGUAGCAUAUGAAUAAGCACCGGCUAACUCCGUGCCAGCAGCCGCGGUAAUACGGAGGGUGCAAGCGUUACUCGGAAUCACUGGGCGUAAAGGACGCGUAGGCGGGUUGGAAAGUCAGGUGUGAAAUCCUACAGCUUAACUGUAGAACUGCACUUGAAACUUCUAAUCUAGAGUAUGGGAGGGGGAGAUGGAAUUAGUGGUGUAGGGGUAAAAUCCGUAGAUAUCACUAGGAAAACCUAAAGCGAAAGCGAUCUCCUGGAACAUUACUGACGCUAAGGCGUGAAAGCGUGGGGAGCAAACAGGAUUAGAUACCCGAGUAGUC